This 303-nucleotide ribosomal RNA is filed under the name uncultured bacterium. Its description in RNAcentral is "partial 16S ribosomal RNA". It matches the Rfam family "Bacterial small subunit ribosomal RNA", at positions 507 to 807 of the family's 1533-position model. The record is from RNAcentral.
AGCAGUAGCCGCGGUAAUACGAGGGGUGCAAGCGUUAUUCGGAUUGAUUGGGUGUAAAGGGUGUGCAGACGGCUUAUUAAGUCACUUGUUAAAUUCUUCGGCCUAACUGAAGGUCUGCAAGUGAUACUGAUGAGCUAGAGGGUGGAAGAGAGAAGUGGAAUUCUCGGAGUAGCGGUAAAAUGCGUAGAUCUCGAGAGGAACACCAAUGGCGAAGGCAGCUUCUUGGUCCAUUCCUGACGUUCAUACACGAAAGCGUGGGGAGCGAACAGGAUUAGAUACCCCCGUAGUCCCUGUCUCUUAUAC